GUUAAGAUGCUUAUGUACAAACUCGGGAGCAUGAAACAGCUUAGUGCAACCCUUGGCUCCACAGCCAUAUUUCCAUCCAUAUUUUUCAUCUCUUAUCUUGCGAACAUAUGGAUCAAAAGCUUCAAGAGCAGCAGCCUCUAUUUUAUCUUUGGCAGUCAUCACUUCCAACAGAUCCUGACCUCUCAAUCUCUCUUGCCAACGUAAGUCAAGUUUCUUCUCCCACUCAUCCGCACCACCAGCUAUGUUAGAAUUCUUCCCCUCUUCUCUUACAUGACGAAGACCCUUAGCUUCUCUUGUCUCGACCAUUCCAUAGUAAUCUAGACCAUGGAUACGCCACAGAUAUGUGAGAAGUGUGUCCAAUAGCUCAACACCCUCCAAGCCUUUGACAGUUGUCAGCCCCCGUAUGAUUAUGAC
RNAcentral lists this unclassified non-coding RNA (414 nucleotides) under Hevea brasiliensis (rubber tree). Lineage: Eukaryota; Viridiplantae; Streptophyta; Magnoliopsida; Malpighiales; Euphorbiaceae. The record is from RNAcentral.